UUUAGCCAGAUGCUGAGGACUUCUCACAGGACCCACUGUGGUUCUGGUACAUCCAUCAGAGACCUUCUUGGAUGCAGUCUUGGAAAAAUAAAAAGAGAGAAACUAUUGCGUCAUGCAGAGAAAGAGAAGAAAAAAUAUCCCAGUCUCCUAUUCCCCUGUGUGGUCAUUGAUCUGCCGGCUCUGAUUCAAGCUCUGUGUUAAAUCACCCCUGGGUCCAGAGCUAACCUGUUCUCCCUACCCCUUUGUUCAGACCACGCGAAAGAUAAUAGAAAGCGUUUUGUGCCGGGAGUGCCAUGGGGGCCCCAAUCUCGCCUCUAGCUUUUCUAAAAUCCCUUCUUUCCUCUAACUUUUUCUGCACCCCUUUCUUCAUCUCUGACUGUUUCUCUUUGGCUGUUUUUCUUCUUUUUCCCCUUAAAUCUCCGUUUUCGUCCUAUACCACAUUGUAAAGGGGUCUUUUGUACAACCCUGAUAGAAAGACCACUUUCAAACAAAGACAGCUCACAUUGUGGACCAGGGACAACAAAUAGGAUCUUUUGUGGGCAGGCUGAAGGUGCUCUUUCAUCACCAACAGACAGAGAGGGAGAAGAGAAAGGAAAGAGGGAGCGAGAGACAAGAAGGAAAGUGAAAGCAUGUUUUCUCUUGUGGCCUUGUAGCUGUCACAAUGGAUGAGGAGUAACCCAUUGCUAAGGUUCAAAAAUAUCUGGUCAUCUGGUCUACAAGCUUGUUUCCAGGUGAACUGGUGACAUUGGCUCUUUAGCUUUUCUCCACCAGGCCUUCUGGUGUGUGAACCUACAACCAACCAGCAACUCCCAGCUUGUCCAGGUCCGGUUCCACAUGGGAAAUUUCACCUGAAAAUUUCCACAAAAGUUCAGUGGUAUGAUUGACUGCAGGAAUAGCACCUUCAUACUUCUUUGAACAUACUUGAGCAAAGAGAACAUGGUAGUAAAUGCUUGAGAGUGUUUUCUUUGAUGCAUUUGGUAAAUCCCAAAGUUCCCAAGAUCAUGUAAAACAAGAUUGUCGUCUACUUUUGCCAGCACUUGAUGUUUAUA
Molecule: long non-coding RNA, 1049 nt
Organism: Thunnus maccoyii (southern bluefin tuna)
Lineage: Eukaryota; Metazoa; Chordata; Actinopteri; Scombriformes; Scombridae
Exons: 3
Source: RefSeq, a predicted model, not a curated record